CAAGAGCGUAUGUAAAAGUUGUUGCAGUUAAAAAGCUCGUAGUUGAACCUUGGGUUUGGUUGGCCGGUCCGCUUUUUUGCGAGUACUGGAUUCAACCGAGCCUUUCCUUCUGGCUAACCAGUCGUUUCGGCGGCUGGCGAACCAGGAUUUUUACUUUGAGAAAAUUAGAGUGUUCAAAGCAGGCAUUAGCUUGAAUAUAUUAGCAUGGAAUAAUAGAAUAGGACGUUAUGGUUCUAUUUUGUUGGUUUCUAGGACCAUCGUAAUGAUUAAUAGGGACGGUCGGGGGCAUCAGUAUUCAGUUGUCAGAGGUGAAAUUCUUGGAUUUACUGAAGACUAACUACUGUGAAAGCAUUUGCCAAGGACGUUUUCAUUAA
RNAcentral lists this ribosomal RNA (374 nucleotides) under uncultured eukaryote. RNAcentral describes it as "partial 18S ribosomal RNA". It matches the Rfam family "Eukaryotic small subunit ribosomal RNA", at positions 592 to 976 of the family's 1831-position model. The record is from RNAcentral.